Molecule: ribosomal RNA, 460 nt
Filed under: uncultured bacterium
Lineage: Bacteria
Description: partial 16S ribosomal RNA
Rfam family: Bacterial small subunit ribosomal RNA
Source: RNAcentral
CCUACGGGGGGCAGCAGUGAGGAAUAUUGGUCAAUGGGCGCGAGCCUGAACCAGCCAAGUAGCGUGAAGGAUGACUGCCCUACGGGUUGUAAACUUCUUUUAUAAAGGAAUAAAGUGAGGCACGUGUGCCUUUUUGUAUGUACUUUAUGAAUAAGGAUCGGCUAAUUCCGUGCCAGCAGCCGCGGUAAUACGGAGGAGCCGAGCGUUAUCCGGAUUUAUUGGGUUUAAAGGGAGCGUAGAUGGGUUGUUAAGUUAGUUGUGAAAGUGUGCGGCUCAACCGUAAAAUUGCAAUGGAUACUGGCAGACUUGAGUACAGUUGAGGUAGGCGGAAUUCGUGGUGUAGCGGUGAAAUGCUUAGAUAUCACGAAGAACUCCGAUUGCGAAGGCAGCUUACUAAACUGCCACUGACGUUGAUGCUCGAAAGUGUGGGUAUCAAACAGGAUUAGAUACCCCAGUAGUC